This 848-nucleotide ribosomal RNA is filed under the name uncultured bacterium. RNAcentral describes it as "bacterial SSU rRNA". It matches the Rfam family "Bacterial small subunit ribosomal RNA", at positions 28 to 896 of the family's 1533-position model. The record is from RNAcentral.
GAUGAACGCUGGCGGCGUGCCUAAUACAUGCAAGUCGAACGGGAGGUAGCAAUACCUCUAGUGGCGAACGGGUGAGUAACGCGUUGGUGACCUGCCCCGAAGUGUGGGAUACCAGUUCGAAAGGACUGUUAAUACCGCAUGUGGUUGUAAGGAUUAGAGGCUUUGCAACUAAAGGAUUAUAUUCGCUUCGGGAGGGGCCUGCGUCCCAUCAGCUAGUUGGUAAGGUAACGGCUUACCAAGGCGAUGACGGGUAGGGGACCUGAGAGGGUGAUCCCCCACAAUGGAACUGAAACACGGUCCAUACACCUACGGGUGGCAGCAGUAGGGAAUAUUGCAAAAUGGGCGCAAGCCCGAUGCAGCAACGCCGCGUGGGCGAUGAAGGCCUUCGGGUCGUAAAGCCCUUUUUGAGGGGAUGAGGAAGGACAGUACCCUCAGAAUAAGCCUCGGCUAACUACGUGCCAGCAGCCGCGGUAAAACGUAGGAGGCGAGCGUUAUCCGGAUUUACUGGGCGUAAAGCGCGUGCAGGCGGAUUGGAAAGUUGGAUGUGAAAGCUCCCGGCUUAACUGGGAGAGGUCGUUCAAAACUUCCAGUCUUGAGUGCAGUAGAGGGAAGUGGAAUUCCGGGUGUAGUGGUGAAAUGCGUAGAUAUCCGGAGGAACACCAGUGGCGAAAGCGACUUCCUGGACUGUAACUGACGCUCAGACGCGAAAGCUAGGGUAGCAAACGGGAUUAGAGACCCCGGUAGUCCUAGCUGUAAACGAUGUAGACUUGGCGUAGGAGGGUUUAAAUCCUUCUGUGCCGAAGCAAACGCGAUAAGUCUACCGCCUGGGGACUACGGCCGCAAGGUUA